GGGAUAGCCCAGGGAAACCUGGAUUAAUACCGGAUGAGACGGGACCCGCGAUGGCGGGACCCGGGAAAGGCGCUGCGGCGCCGCCGGGGGAUGAGUCUGCGUCCCAUUAGCUAGACGGCGGGGUAACGGCCCACCGUGGCGACGAUGGGUAGCCCGGCCUGAGAGGGUGGACGGCCACAUUGGAACUGAGACACGGUCCAGACUCCUACGGGAGGCAGCAGCUAAGAAUCUUCCGCAAUGGGCGAAAGCCUGACGGAGCGACGCCGUCCGUGAACGAAGAAGGCCGUGAGGUUGUAAAGUUCUUUUCGGGAGGGGGAACAACCGUGGCAGGGAAUGGCCGCGGGAUGACGUGAAUCCCGGAAUAAGCCCCGGCUAACUACGUGCCAGCAGCAGC
RNAcentral lists this ribosomal RNA (394 nucleotides) under uncultured bacterium. RNAcentral's name for it is "bacterial SSU rRNA". It matches the Rfam family "Bacterial small subunit ribosomal RNA", at positions 140 to 518 of the family's 1533-position model. The record is from RNAcentral.